This 475-nucleotide ribosomal RNA is filed under the name uncultured bacterium. Its description in RNAcentral is "bacterial SSU rRNA". It matches the Rfam family "Bacterial small subunit ribosomal RNA", at positions 791 to 1264 of the family's 1533-position model. The record is from RNAcentral.
UAGUCCACGCCGUAAACGAUGGUUACUAGCUGUUUGUUGGAAUUAACUGAUGAGUGGCUAAGCGAAAGUGAUAAGUAACCCACCUGGGGAGUACGUUGGCAACAAUGAAACUCAAAGGAAUUGACGGGGGCCCGCACAAGCGGUGGAGCAUGUGGUUUAAUUCGAUGAUACGCGAGGAACCUUACCAGGGCUUAAAUGCAGAUUGACAGGGAUGGAGACAUCUUUUUCUUCGGACAAUUUGCAAGGUGCUGCAUGGUUGUCGUCAGCUCGUGCCGUGAGGUGUCAGGUUAAGUCCUAUAACGAGCGCAACCCCUGUUGUUAGUUGCCAGCGAGUGAUGUCGGGAACUCUAACAAGACUGCCGGUGCAAACCGUGAGGAAGGUGGGGAUGACGUCAAAUCAUCACGGCCCUUACGUCCUGGGGCCACACACGUGCUACAAUGGGUAGGGGACAGAGAGCAGCCACACCGCGAGGGU